Molecule: ribosomal RNA, 190 nt
Filed under: Enterobacter cloacae
Lineage: Bacteria; Pseudomonadati; Pseudomonadota; Gammaproteobacteria; Enterobacterales; Enterobacteriaceae
Description: partial 16S ribosomal RNA
Rfam family: Bacterial small subunit ribosomal RNA
Source: RNAcentral
ACUUAAAUUGAAGAGUUUGAUCAUGGCUCAGAUUGAACGCUGGCGGCAGGCCUAACACAUGCAAGUCGAGCGGCAGCGGGAAGUAGCUUGCUACUUUGCCGGCGAGCGGCGGACGGGUGAGUAAUGUCUGGGAAACUGCCUGAUGGAGGGGGAUAACUACUGGAAACGGUAGCUAAUACCGCAUAACGUC